Molecule: ribosomal RNA, 390 nt
Filed under: uncultured Chrysophyceae
Lineage: Eukaryota; Chrysophyceae
Description: partial small subunit ribosomal RNA
Rfam family: Eukaryotic small subunit ribosomal RNA
Source: RNAcentral
GCUUGUCUCAAAGAUUAAGCCAUGCAUGUCUAAGUAUAAACAAAUCUAUACGUGAAACUGCGAAUGGCUCAUUAUAUCAGUUAUAGUUUAUUUGAUGGUCCUUACUACUUGGAUAACCGUAGUAAUUCUAGAGCUAAUACACGACUCAAACCCCGACUCACGAAGGGGUGUGUUUAUUAGAUGGAAACCAAUGCGGGGCAACCCGGAUUUCUGGUGAUUCAUAAUAACCCUCCGAUCGGCUUUGCCGACGCAUCAUUCAAGUUUCUGCCCUAUCAGCUUUGGAUGGUAGGGUAUUGGCCUACCAUGGCUUUAACGGGUAACGGAGAAUUAGGGUUCGAUUCCGGAGAGGGAGCCUGAGAAAUGGCUACCACAUCCAAGGAAGGCAGCAGG